CAGUCGCCGCGGUAAUACGGAGGGGGCUAGCGUUGUUCGGAAUUACUGGGCGUAAAGCGCACGUAGGCGGCUUGGUAAGUUAGAGGUGAAAGCCCGGAGCUCAACUCCGGAAUUGCCUUUAAGACUGCCGAGCUAGUAGGUGAGAGAGGUAAGUGGAAUUCCGAGUGUAGAGGUGAAAUUCGUAGAUAUUCGGAAGAACACCAGUGGCGAAGGCGGCUUACUGGCUCAUUCUAGACGCUGAGGUGCGAAAGCGUGGGGAGCAAACAGGAUUAAAUACCCGCGUAGUCCCUGUCUCUUAUAC
Molecule: ribosomal RNA, 301 nt
Filed under: uncultured bacterium
Lineage: Bacteria
Description: partial 16S ribosomal RNA
Rfam family: Bacterial small subunit ribosomal RNA
Source: RNAcentral